This 1346-nucleotide ribosomal RNA is filed under the name uncultured bacterium. Its description in RNAcentral is "partial 16S ribosomal RNA". It matches the Rfam family "Bacterial small subunit ribosomal RNA", at positions 28 to 1381 of the family's 1533-position model. The record is from RNAcentral.
GACGAACGCUGGCGGCGUGCUUAACACAUGCAAGUCGAACGGAAAGGCCCUGCUUUUGUGGGGUGCUCGAGUGGCGAACGGGUGAGUAACACGUGAGUAACCUGCCCUUGACUUUGGGAUAACUUCAGGAAACUGGGGCUAAUACCGGAUAGGAGCUCCUGCUGCAUGGUGGGGGUUGGAAAGUUUCGGCGGUUGGGGAUGGACUCGCGGCUUAUCAGCUUGUUGGUGGGGUAGUGGCUUACCAAGGCUUUGACGGGUAGCCGGCCUGAGAGGGUGACCGGCCACAUUGGGACUGAGAUACGGCCCAGACUCCUACGGGAGGCAGCAGUGGGGAAUAUUGCACAAUGGGCGGAAGCCUGAUGCAGCAACGCCGCGUGCGGGAUGACGGCCUUCGGGUUGUAAACCGCUUUCGCCUGUGACGAAGCGUGAGUGACGGUAAUGGGUAAAGAAGCACCGGCUAACUACGUGCCAGCAGCCGCGGUGAUACGUAGGGUGCGAGCGUUGUCCGGAUUUAUUGGGCGUAAAGGGCUCGUAGGUGGUUGAUCGCGUCGGAAGUGUAAUCUUGGGGCUUAACCCUGAGCGUGCUUUCGAUACGGGUUGACUUGAGGAAGGUAGGGGAGAAUGGAAUUCCUGGUGGAGCGGUGGAAUGCGCAGAUAUCAGGAGGAACACCAGUGGCGAAGGCGGUUCUCUGGGCCUUUCCUGACGCUGAGGAGCGAAAGCGUGGGGAGCGAACAGGCCUAGAUACCCUGGUAGUCCACGCUGUAAACGGUGGGUACUAGGUGUGGGGUCCAUUCCACGGGUUCCGUGCCGUAGCUAACGCUUUAAGUACCCCGCCUGGGGAGUACGGCCGCAAGGCCAAAACUCAAAGGAAUUGACGGGGCCCCGCACAAGCGGCGGAGCAUGCGGAUUAAUUCGAUGCAACGCGUAGAACCUUACCUGGGUUUGACAUGGAUCGGGAGUGCUCAGAGAUGGGUGUGCCUCUUUUGGGGUCGGUUCACAGGUGGUGCAUGCCUGUCGUCAGCUCGUGUCGUGAGAUGUUGGGUUAAGUCCCGCAACGAGCGCAACCCUUGUUCACUGUUGCCAGCACGUUAUGGUGGGGACUCAGUGGAGACCGCCGGGGUCAACUCGGAGGAAGGUGGGGAUGACGUCAAGUCAUCAUGCCCCUUAUGUCCAGGGCUUCACGCAUGCUACAAUGGCUGGUACAGAGAGUGGCGAGCCUGUGAGGGUGAGCGAAUCUCGGAAAGCCGGUCUCAGUUCGGAUUGGGGUCUGCAACUCGACCUCAUGAAGUCGGAGUCGCUAGUAAUCGCAGAUCAGCAACGCUGCGGUGAAUACGUUCCCGGGGCU